Molecule: ribosomal RNA, 339 nt
Filed under: Triticum aestivum (bread wheat)
Lineage: Eukaryota; Viridiplantae; Streptophyta; Magnoliopsida; Poales; Poaceae
Description: partial small subunit ribosomal RNA
Source: RNAcentral
AUGGGCGGCGGCAACGCGCAGAAGUCCAAGAUGGCGAGGGAGAGGAACCUCGAGAAGCUGAAGGGCGGCAAGGGGAGCCAGCUCGAGGCCAACAAGAAGGCCAUGAACAUCCAGUGUAUAAUUAGUCUUGACAAAACAAUCUUGGCAGUCAUGUUGCCUACGAGUUCAUCAAAUUUCUUGUCUGCCAAUGGAUGUGCACCAUAUUGGAUAGCUGAAAUGUGCAAGAUAUGCAUGCAGACUUUCAUCUGCACCACCUCUGAAGCAAAGUGCAAGGAGCAUGCUGAGGCGAAGCAUCCGAAGAGCGACCUCGUCCAGUGCUUCCCCCACCUCAAGCAGUGA